GCCGACAGGCGUAGGCGAUGGAUAACAGGUUGAUAUUCCUGUACCACCUAUAAUCGUUUUAAUCGAUGGGGGGACGCAGUAGGAUAGGCGAAGCGUGCGAUUGGAUUGCACGUCUAAGCAGUAAGGCUGAGUAUUAGGCAAAUCCGGUACUCGUUAAGGCUGAGCUGUGAUGGGGAGAAGACAUUGUGUCUUCGAGUCGUUGAUUUCACACUGCCGAGAAAAGCCUCUAGAUAGAAAAUAGGUGCCCGUACCGCAAACCGACACAGGUAGUCAAGAUGAGAAUUCUAAGGUGAGCGAGCGAACUCUCGUUAAGGAACUCGGCAAAAUGACCCCGUAACUUCGGGAGAAGGGGUGCUCUUUAGGGUUAACGCCCAGAAGAGCCGCAGUGAAUAGGCCCAAGCGACUGUUUAUCAAAAACACAGGUCUCUGCUAAACCGUAAGGUGAUGUAUAGGGGCUGACGCCUGCCCGGUGCUGGAAGGUUAAGAGGAGUGGUUAGCUUCUGCGAAGCUACGAAUCGAAGCCCCAGUAAACGGCGGCCGUAACUAUAACGGUCCUAAGGUAGCGAAAUUCCUUGUCGGGUAAGUUCCGACCCGCACGAAAGGCGUAACGAUUUGGGCACUGUCUCAACGAGAGACUCGGUGAAAUCAUAGUACCUGUGAAGAUGCAGGUUACCCGCGACAGGACGGAAAGACCCCGUGGAGCUUUACUGUAGCCUGAUAUUGAAAUUCGGCACAGCUUGUACAGGAUAGGUAGGAGCCUUUGAAACGUGAGCGCUAGCUUACGUGGAGGCGCUGGUGGGAUACUACCCUAGCUGUGUUGGCUUUCUAACCCGCACCACUUAUCGUGGUGGGAGACAGUGUCAGGCGGGCAGUUUGACUGGGGCGGUCGCCUCCUAAAAGGUAACGGAGGCGCUCAAAGGUUCCCUCAGAAUGGUUGGAAAUCAUUCAUAGAGUGUAAAGGCAUAAGGGAGCUUGACUGCGAGACCUACAAGUCGAGCAGGGUCGAAAGACGGACUUAGUGAUCCGGUGGUUCCGCAUGGAAGGGCCAUCGCUCAACGGAUAAAAGCUACCCCGGGGAUAACAGGCUUAUCUCCCCCAAGAGUUCACAUCGACGGGGAGGUUUGGCACCUCGAUGUCGGCUCAUCGCAUCCUGGGGCUGUAGUCGGUCCCAAGGGUUGGGCUGUUCGCCCAUUAAAGCGGUACGCGAGCUGGGUUCAGAACGUCGUGAGACAGUUCGGUCCCUAUCCGUCGUGGGCGUAGGAAAUUUGAGAGGAGCUGUCCUUAGUACGAGAGGACCGGGAUGGACAUACCUCUGGUGUACCAGUUGUCGUGCCAACGGCAUAGCUGGGUAGCUAUGUGUGGACGGGAUAAGUGCUGAAAGCAUCUAAGCAUGAAGCCCCCCUCAAGAUGAGAUUUCCCAACUUCGGUUAUAAGAUCCCUCAAAGAUGAUGAGGUUAAUAGGUUCGAGGUGGAAGCAUGGUGACAUGUGGAGCUGACGAAUACUAAUCGAUCGAAGACUUAAUC
RNAcentral lists this ribosomal RNA (1524 nucleotides) under Staphylococcus aureus. RNAcentral describes it as "bacterial LSU rRNA". It matches the Rfam family "Bacterial large subunit ribosomal RNA", at positions 1401 to 2925 of the family's 2925-position model. The record is from RNAcentral. Lineage: Bacteria; Bacillati; Bacillota; Bacilli; Caryophanales; Staphylococcaceae.